This is a non-coding RNA of Cyanistes caeruleus (blue tit), 2995 nucleotides long. The record is from RefSeq and is a predicted model, not a curated record. Lineage: Eukaryota; Metazoa; Chordata; Aves; Passeriformes; Paridae.
CUAUUCUUUAUGCUGCCUUAAAUACAUAAAUAUAUGUUAAUGAAGUUUAAUAUUUCGGCUUAGAAAACAAUCCUGUCCAUAUCUACAUUGAAAAAAGUUCUGAGAUGAAAUAUGUGAUGAAGUUAACAGGAAAAAUGUGUUGAAGAGUGUCCAAGGAGUUGGUUUGAUAGCUCAGCAUGGAUCUUUUUUGGCUUGAAGAAGGAAAAUAGCUACUAAAUUGAGAAUUAAGUACAAAACUUGGGUAAAGCAGAAGUGAUUCUGAUGGGAGCUCUGCAUUGGCUGUGGCUGAUGUCCUAGGAAGCAGAUGAAAAGUGCUGAACACCUUUAAUGCCAAUAUAAGUCUUUGGAUUGAUAUUAUUUGGAUUCAUAUUCUUAUUAACACCACUAUUUCUCAUUCUAUUUCUGUUUUACACAGAGGCCUGAAGAUCUGCAUGAACUUGAAGAUCACCUCUUUCAUUUUAUGGGAUUAGAUCUAGGUUAUGUGUGGCAAUCCUGUAAAUACUGGGGAAAUGCAAGACUCAACGUUGUGGUACAGCCUUAGUUGGUUUCUCUCAAGCCAAUUGAUAAUUAUUACACCAGCUGAACCACAGUGCAGUAACUCUUUUGUAAUGGAAUCACAGUAAGCUGGUUUCCCAUUUCAAUUAAUAACUUGUGAAAAUAAAGUAAGUGCUUUUUGCUGAUUAGGCAUAUGUGGCUGCUUGGAAAAAAUGUGUGUGCAGUACAUGGCAAUUCAGCUUCCCUUUCUGUGCUGCAUAUUCAAAAGCACAAUAAAAUACUAGUUGAAAGAAGAAUAAGAUAAGAAUUGGAAUGUUGCUGACUAUGGAGAAGGCAUUGUGUUGAGAUGGCAGACACUGCUGUCACUGCUCAUUCUGACCAACCCACCUGGAGUAGAUGUCCCUCUGUUGUGUCCCCAUCCAAAUCUCUUGGCAGUAUCACUUUCAGAUCUCAUCCUUCCCUCUCUUCAGACCUUUAAGUUUAUGCAGGCAAAUAAACUGAGAGCCUCAGUCUUCCCUUUGUGCAUUUGGUUCUUGAAAGAGAUGGAUUGUCCAUGAAAGGCUGGCAUGUAAGAGGCUCCUGUUGAAGUGACAUGAAAGUGUUGCAAGAUACUUGGAAUGACUUAAACAUACUGCACUGAGUGUUCUCUCAGCAGCUGCUGCAAUGCACUGUUUCUCAGAGGCUUUAGGUAAAAAGUGAAGAGAUCUUUGGUGCACAGGUACCUCUAGCAGUGCCCCUGUGAUGAAUUACUAUUUACUGGAUCUGCUAAAGCCACCCCUUUGGGGUCACAAUUAAAUGAGGCUCUCAUCCCUUCUAAAAGGUAAAAAGGUGUAUGUUUUUACAUCUCAAAUUUUUAAACUCUGCAUCUACGGAGCAAAAAACUGGUAGAACCUAAGGUCCCAGAAGUCCCAGGAUAAAUAAAAAGGAUGCAAUAUUAAUUUGUUUUUUCUUAGAAAGUGCUAGAUAAUAGACUAAGAAAAAGGUUCUUAUCUCUGUUUAAGGGUUCAUAUUUUACCCUUUCUGAGGGGUGUCAGUCCUCUAUCAUGUUUGCAUAUUCCUAGAGUGAAAAUUACUUUUUUUUUAAAUUACUUUAUUUAGGGGCUGACUAUGAAUGUUGGACUAGACUUGGAAGACCACAUUCCUUCUUCCUUUGCUGGCCCUUGACAAAAAAAUCACCACUUCUAUCUGCAUCAUUUAUUCAUAUGUGAAAUUGGAAUGGUCACACACUCUUUGCUACUAAAUUAUCUCUGGGAAAGCUGGGUAUGUUUAGAAUAAUUCACAGCUGAUGUUUACCCAUUUACAAUUGUAAAAUACAUGCUACAUCCAUUCCCUUUUUAAGCCCUAAAUAUAACCUUGUGUUAGUUUCAAAAUGACUGCUGGAAAAUCUGAUUACUUUUUUCUGUAUUGCCAUGAUUAUUUUAGAAACAAAUCUUUACCAAGUAUGUUCUUUAACAUUGUUUGAGGUCCUCUGGUGUUCAUUCAUGCAGAUAUGGAGCUACCCAGUCUUCCCAAAUACCGUGGGUACUAUGAAUAAUUCCAGCUCACUUUAUGGACAGGGACUGAAGUCAGGAAACUUCAAAGAGUUGUGAACUGUCCAGUAAUGUGCAAGGGUUCUGCUAUAACCUCUGUGUUAUCUGUGUUUCAGUCUUCCACAAAUGUAGUAAUUGUUGUUUCAUCCUAGUAUUUAUAACGAUUUUGCUGCUGCCAUUAUGGAGAUUUAAAGCAUGGAGAGGUGGAAUGGUGAAGAUUUGGGCAAUUUUGGCAGUUUUCUGUAUAUAAAGUGGUUGCAGUCAAUGAGGCUGUGGUGAAUCCACAGGGAUAUUAGAAAAAAAAGGAAACCUGUUCGUUUUAAAUUGUGAAGAGUUAAUAACUUGGUUCAACUUGCUUGGUUGAAAGCAUGGAAGAUGUAUUUGUGUUAGUCACUUGUCUUUUUUAUUUUAUGAACCAGUUCUGAACAGCACUGUAUAAAAUUAUUCUGUAAUUAACUUUUUGGAAUUGAAAUAGAAUGAAUCAUUAGAAGGAAACAGCUAAGCAGUGAAGAUUUGAACUGAGCAAACACCUUGAACUCAUGUUGGAAACCAAUUGUGAAGGGGAGUACAAAUGCAGCCUGGAUUUGAUUCAGAUAACACCAGCCCAGAGUGACUUUAUCCAGGAGGAAGGUGAGAUCUACAGCAUCGGCUAUCCUUGAAGAGAGCAAUGCAACAGUGGCAAUGUAACACCUUUCUCAAAGAAGAAACCUGUUCCUUUUCUUUGUCUGAGCACCGGUGCGAUCUAUAAAAACGCUCUAAACUCCUACUCUGACUUCAGUCACAGUUUAUGACUACAUCGAAGUUUAUCUCCUCUUUGGCAGAACUUAAGGAAGGUGAAGUCUGCGCUCCCUCUUGUGGUACAUGUAGAAAUAUGAAGAAACUUCGGGGAAAAACUGCCUGUAACAGUGAGGGAAGCUGAAUGUGUUUUACUUAGCAUCUUGUGACAGAAUAAACUGAGAUUUCUGAUGUUA